GAUGGAGAACGCAGCGAAAUGCGAUAAGUAGUGUGAAUUGCAGAAUUCAGUGAAUCAUCGAAUCUUUGAACGCACAUUGCGCCCUUUGGUAUUCCAAAGGGCAUGCCUGUUCGAGCGUCAUUUGUACCCUCAAGCUUUGCUUGGUGUUGGGCGUCUUGUCUCUAGCUUUGCUGGAGACUCGCCUUAAAGUAAUUGGCAGCCGGCCUACUGGUUUCGGAGCGCAGCACAAGUCGCACUCUCUAUCAGCAAAGGUCUAGCAUCCAUUAAGCCUUUUUUUCAACUUUUGACCUCGGAUCAGGUAGGGAUACCCGCUGAACUUAAGCAUAUCAAUAAGCGGAGGA
This 341-nucleotide unclassified non-coding RNA is filed under the name soil metagenome. RNAcentral describes it as "partial contains 5.8S ribosomal RNA, internal transcribed spacer 2, and large subunit ribosomal RNA". The stretch from base 1 to 120 matches the Rfam family "5.8S ribosomal RNA", at positions 35 to 154 of the family's 154-position model. The record is from RNAcentral.